Molecule: ribosomal RNA, 756 nt
Filed under: Triticum aestivum (bread wheat)
Lineage: Eukaryota; Viridiplantae; Streptophyta; Magnoliopsida; Poales; Poaceae
Description: partial small subunit ribosomal RNA
Source: RNAcentral
AUGACCUCCUCUUACCGGCCGGCCGCCACGACGAGCCCGGAGGCGACGGCGGCAGUACCCAAGGUGGAGGCCGAAGCGGCGGCGACGGCGGCCCGAAACCCUAGCUCCCCCAGCGGCCCGCCGUCGCCGGAGAUGGAGGCCACGGCGGAGGCGCUCACGCGGGAGGAGGUGCUACGCCGGAGGCGCCGACGCACGGCGCGGCUCGUUGGCGUGUACCGCCGGCUGUACUGGGCGAUGGCAGAGGAGGUGCGCGCGCGGCACCGGCAGUACGUCUGGGAGCUCGGCCGCAGUCCGCUCGAGGCCGAGCAGCCCCCGUCGGCCGCGUGCUCGGAGGCGAAGCCUGGGCCGGCGGCGGUGCCGAGGAGGAAGAAGUGUGGGUUCACGGGCUGCAAGGUGCGGGCGAUGCCUAUGGCCAAGUACUGCCACUCCCACAUCCUCUCCGAUCCCAAUCAGGCCCUGUACAAGGGAUGCGGUCAAAUCAUCAAGAGUGGUGCACAGAUUGGGCAAAUUACUUGCAGCAGGCCCAUCCUAAAAGCUUCAGUUCCCUCCCUCUGCAAUGUUCACUUGCAAAGAUCUCAGAAGAACAUAUCACAGGCUUAUAAGAAAGUUGGCUUUAAUCCACCCCCUACUGGCCAGAUCUCCCCAGAUUUUAGUGUCUUAGUUGCCGAAUGUGUCCGUCAGAUCCAGGCCAGGAGGAGAGAAUCCCGAAGUGUUGCAGCAGGGAAGAAAUGCCCCAAAGAUGGGAAAGUUGGCUGA